GCAGCGGCCGGCAGUGGCGGCCCACGGUCGCUGUCUGAACAGCUAACAGAUGUCGGAGCUAUUUGGGGCCUGUGAUGUCACCUGGCGGGCCGGCCCAUGACUGUGGUUAUGAUGUCAUCUGCCGUCUGGCUGUGCGGCUCUGUGGCCAGUGAAGUCACUGGGGAGGGAGAGUCCCCCCUGGAGGCCCCCGUGUACCCUGCACAGGCAGCCGUCUCCCCUGGACUCCAGGCACCAAGAUAGCCCAGGAGGCUUGAGGGCUGCCAAAGGAGCAGCCGGCCAGGCCUGGAGCCAUGGUGCCAUGCUUUUGGCCUCAGGACCACUCCCUUCCGGGGGGCUGGAAUGCCCAGGCCUCCCUGGUCCUGCCCAGCCAGCCUACCUCCUGCCACUCCACCACUGUGAGUCAGUGCCCACUUCACACCCGUAUCUACUGACUUUGCAGGAGAUUUUCAAGGAACCACGGAGGUGUUUAAAGAGGACGUCAUUGAAAACUAGGCAAUUUUUUGGUUCUUUCUGGCCCAGCUGAUUGAGUUUACCACGUCUCUGUCUAAACCAUCACGCGCCCAAAGCUUUGACCCAGUUUCAGCCCCUGGGAGCAAGAAAAGAAGUGAGAAAGGAGAAGAAUCGUGGCUCUUAUUGUCGUCAUGGCAUGUGAAACCACAACUGAACAUUUUCACCCACAGUGUUUGGGCAUGACCUACUCGGGGUGUCAAAGUUCAAGGUAGAAGGAGCAACAAGCUCUCUUCCCAGUAAAGUUUCCUCUACCUGCUCCCUAUGCCCCCGCCCCCGCCCCCAGGACCUAUCAAGCGGAUGUGAGGCAUUACACAAUCCUGAGGGGAUGACAUCAGUGGGAAGGAAUUUAGGACAUUAGUGCAACAAGGGGCUUAUAGAAUUCUGGGGAAAAAUCUUGACUUUGUUUGGAACAUUACUGGACUCCCAUUGCACGGGAUAUGUUUAGUUGCAG
This is a long non-coding RNA of Equus caballus (horse), 961 nucleotides long. The record is from Ensembl. NCBI's taxonomy places the organism in Eukaryota, Metazoa, Chordata, Mammalia, Perissodactyla, Equidae.